GCUCGCAAAGAGAACCGGAACACCAGGUGCUGCAUGGCUGUCGUCAGCUCGUGUCGUGAGAUGUUGGGUUAAGUCCCGCAACGAGCGCAACCCUUGUCCUUAGUUGCUACGAAAGGGCACUCUAAUGAGACUGCCGGUGACAAACCGGAGGAAGGUGGGGAUGACGUCAAGUCCUCAUGGCCCUUAUGGGUAGGGCUUCACACGUCAUACAAUGGUCGGAACAGAGGGUCGCCAACCCGCGAGGGGGAGCCAAUCCCAGAAACCCGAUCGUAGUCCGGAUUGCACUCUGCAACUCGACUGCAUGAAGUCGGAAUCGCUAGUAAUCGCGGAUCAGCAUGUCGCGGUGAAUACGUUCCCGGGUCUUGUACACACCG
Molecule: ribosomal RNA, 374 nt
Filed under: Achromobacter sp. Vi49
Lineage: Bacteria; Pseudomonadati; Pseudomonadota; Betaproteobacteria; Burkholderiales; Alcaligenaceae
Description: bacterial SSU rRNA
Rfam family: Bacterial small subunit ribosomal RNA
Source: RNAcentral